Molecule: non-coding RNA, 28 nt
Filed under: Rattus norvegicus (Norway rat)
Lineage: Eukaryota; Metazoa; Chordata; Mammalia; Rodentia; Muridae
Source: RNAcentral
UAAAAGAGUAUAAAGAAAAUGAACGGCA